GAUGAACGCUGGCGGCGUGCCUAAUACAUGCAAGUCGAGCGAACAGACGAGGAGCUUGCUCCUCUGACGUUAGCGGCGGACGGGUGAGUAACACGUGGAUAACCUCCCUAUAAGACUGGGAUCACUUCGGGAAACCGGCGCUAAUACCGGAUAAUAUAUUGAACCGCAUGGUUCAAUAGUGAAAGACGGUUUUGCUGUCACUUAUAGCUGGAUCCGCGCCGCAUUAGCUAGUUGGUAAGGUAACGGCUUACCAAGGCAACGAUGCGUAGCCGACCUGAGAGGGUGAUCGGCCACACUGGAACUGAGCCACGGUCCAGACUACUACGGGAGGCAGCAGUAGGGAAUCUGCGGCAAUGGGCGAAAGCCUGACGGAGCAAGGCCGCGUGAGUGAUGAAGGUCUUCGGAUCGUAAAACUCUGUUAUUAGGGAAGAACAAAUGUGUAAGUAACUAUGCACGUCUUGACGGUACCGAAUCAGAAAGCCACGGCUAACUACGUG
Molecule: ribosomal RNA, 497 nt
Filed under: uncultured bacterium
Lineage: Bacteria
Description: partial 16S ribosomal RNA
Rfam family: Bacterial small subunit ribosomal RNA
Source: RNAcentral